UGCUUUGUCUCUCUAUAAUCCAGCUUUACGUCCACAGCUGAGGAUUUGGUUGAGCUUUGCAAGUUCUCCAUUCUACUCUGUGUCCUGAAGACCGUUAGAGCUCCUACAAUGACUGAAGGGUUCACUCAUUUAUUUCCCUUUCUUUGGAGACCACUGUCCUUAGUUGCCUGAUACAUAAAUGUCUUAGAAAAUCUUAUGUUCUGGUCUUUAUAGGUUUUUUUGUUUUGUUUUGUUUUUAAGGAAAGGUUAAUGUGAACAUGUUUCCCUCAUUCUGUUCAACAGCAAAGUCAAGUUUUCAGCCCUGUUGCUCAUUUAGGAGCUUCUCAUCAGAAACAGAAAUCUCAGACCUAAUUCUAAAUUUUGUGUUUUGAUAAACUCUAAUGGAACAGAAGAGUUUUUGCCCUCAGUGACCUACAUGUGUUUUCAAUUGGUGCUCCCUGGCAGAAGAGAUGUGUGCAAGAAUGCUUCUAAGUAGCCUGACCCAAUAGUUCUCACCCACUCAGCAAUGGCUGCUCUAUUCUGUAGCAUUUACUAUAACCCACGCUGUAACUGGAACGCCUCCACACGAGGCUCUUAUAAUAAAAAGUCACGCCAUAAAAAUGGGUGUAGGUUUUUCUUAGCAGACCCAUGGCUUUGCUCUCAAAAUAAACAGCUAAAUCCUAGGCUCCAAAAUUCGUGUUCAACCAACAUCUUGAGGACUUGCGGGGAAGUUUUACUGCUCGCUUGCAGUACUUAUUUUUGUCAAGACUUUUUUUUUUUUUUAAACAACUAGAGCUCCAAAAUUGUUCCUGGGCCUGACUUUAUUUCACAGGAUCAUUUGCUUUUUAAGCAUGUCAGUCAGUUUUGUCUGACUGAUCUACAGAGCUGGAAUUAAACAUUAUUAAUAAAAGUUCCGGCAAUUACAAAGUACCACAUUAAGUCCUCAGUCCAUGUUUUGAAAGGUUCUAGGACGUUAACAUGGAAAUGGUUGUCAGUUUGAGAAAGGAAAAAAUAACCCUAAAUUUUUUUUUAGCUUCGAGUUAAUGUUUCCACUUCAGAGUUACCAGAGUCUGUCUGCAUCCCUUUCCUCCAUGCUACUCAUUCAGGCCUGGGCUGUCCAGAGAAAGAGCAGAACAUCAGCAUCAGCACCAAUCCUGCAUGGCUUCUCUGCACACUUUGAGAGUCAUCCAGGCUUCCUUACACUUUGGAGCCAGACAUUUCUAGGUAGCAGCUUGUCUUAUGCUUCUUAGCUAAGUCCUCUUAGAAUAUGUCCCAUCUUACUUUCUUCUGCUACCGCUUCCUGUGAUUGUAUCCCUGGAUACCCUCUGUAAAGAUGGCAGUUCUCAUAUCCAUUCAGGAAUGCUUUCACAGUCACCCUGUUCCUGUUCAUCAAGAGGACCACUUCUUGUGCCACCCACCGAUGAUUGAUUCCAACCAACACCUGUACCAACAAUCCCCUGCCCUGUGACAAGAGUUGGGAGGUGUCCAGGAGAAUAGUGAUGUUAAGGUCACUACUGUUGAUCUACUGGCCCAGAAUGCUGUUUUGUGAAAUCAAACUCUCUAUUUGUCUAUUUUUCUGUUGUAGUCAUCUGACCCAGAUUUCAAAAGAAAGUAACAUUUGAUCUGAUUUUUAAUAACAAAUAGCAAGUAGGACUUAUCCACAGAGUAUGAAGGUAAAAGAAUUAUGUACAACUAAAGCCUGUGUAGACUAAAGAGCUAUUGGACUCUGGUCACUGCAUAGAGCUACUGGACAGUGUGUCUAGACAGUGAGAGACUAGAUAGAGUCCAAUAGUUCUCCCUAACAAAAUGGCAUCCCAUCUUGAUCUGACUCAUUCCCUGUUAUAGCACAUGCAUUUAUUAUUAACUGACUCUUUCACAGAUCACCACACUUUCAAAGACAGCCUUGAUUCUUCAUCUAAAUAUACUGGUUUCAGAAGAUACACUAAAGGCCCUCUCUGGAGCUAGGUUAAUGUUGGAGCAACUCUAGAAAUUUCCAGGCAUGAUCUACUGGAUCUUCCUCACAUUCCCACUAUGGCUGACCACCCUCUGUAGCUGAGAAGAUAACUUUAAAAUGGAAGACAAUGACAGGAUUCCCCAAGGCCUAAGAAGGGAUACGCCCCCGUGAAACCUCAGCAAUAUGGCUGCCUAAACAAGCCUUGUAUACCAACAAUGCUAGUGGACAUACCAGCAAGAGAGGAGCAAAUCUCGUAAGACCUCACCCCAGAUGAAGAGAUACAGGCAAUUGAGGGCUGCUGAGAAAAGGAAAAUCAGUCUUGUCCAGAAAUGAACCUUCUGACAGUUUAUCCAAUCCCAAGAAGCCAUUCCUAAAUACACAGUGUUGACAAAUACGUUGAAAAUGAUCAACCAAUAUGUGGGAUUUGCAUCCUUUCACCUUCAAACUGAGAAAAUCUUUCUACCAUCUUCAAACAGAAAUGAUGAAGUGAAUGUAAGCUUUUGGGACCCAGCUUUCUUCUGGCUCUCUCUUGGGAGCCUAGAACUGAUUCAUCUGAUGUCUGGCUACCCUCCACCCUUGACAGCACACAGAGGCCAGUGAUGCAGAGGAGCUACAGUGUGUCCAGACCCUGAAUAUCACAAAGUAGAUGGACAUCACCCACUGUGCCCUGAUCACGGGUACAGAGACUCCACGACAUAGCACAUGGACACUUUAUGCACCUACAUUUGAGGAGAUUUGUUAUUCAGAAGUAGCAAUUGUGGCACCCAAUUUGGGGCAUUAGAAAUCAUAUCUGAAUAAGGUAAAGUAUAUCCCUGCUCUUACACAUUUUAUACACUAUGGUUAUAAAACAGAAAAUAUAGAAACUUUCAUCUUAUUAAUUAAAGUAUUCUAUUUUUGAAAACAUCUUAAUUUCAGCAAAACUGACAUGAUAUAAAUUGCACAUAUUUAAAAUGUACAGUUUGAUGAGUUCUGGCAUAUGAGGGUUCAUAUGGAGCCAUCACCACAGAUAAGCCAAUGAACAUACCCAUCACCCCAAAGUUUCCUGCACAGUCUUUCAUUCCUGCCCAGGUUCCCGCUGCUCUGCUUUGUAAUUUCGUAUUCAUUUGCAGUUUUAGAAAUUUUACAUAAAAGGACCAUAUAGCUUGCCUCUUUUGUUGUUGUUCAGUUUCUUCUACUAGGGAGAGUUAUCUGUGAUUCAUUUAUCUGUUGCACAAAUCAAUAACUGCUUCAUUUUUAUUACUGAGGACUCAUCAUCAUUUGGGCAUGUUAUGGUUUAUUUAUGUACUAGGAAUUGUUUCCAGUUUGGGAAUAUCACAAAUGCAACUGUUGAUAUGCACACAUGGUCAAGUAUUUGAAUAGAAAUGCAUUUUCCUUCUCUGUAGAAAAUACUUUGGUAUGGGUUGCCUUCUAGUCUGUAGCCUAAGUACACUGACCAGAGAAUAAUGUGGGACAGUCUCAAGGUGGUUUGUUUGCUACUUUUCAUUCAGCUAUUACUCUAUUUUAUUGCCUAAUAUCCAAUGCCUUGAAACUAAGUUCUUACCUAUAGAUGUAGUAAUAUAAUUAAUAUGUAUGCCUGUGAUCAUAUGGAUAUAUACAUAUAUAAUCAUGUGCUGCUUUUGUUUUCCAUUGUUUUGGGAAGGAAAUUAAAUAUGGUCCCCUUACCUCAUGUUGAUACUGACUCAUUCUUUUCAUUCAUCCUUGGUUACAGCUGUAUUAAAAGGUAAACACAAAUUUGCCUUCUUUUUGUGUCUUUCGGAAAUAUGUUUCACACAUGAAAACAAGCACUGACAAGAAGCAGGAGGCCCGUGUGCUCAUGAUGUCUGGUUUUGACUCAAGAUUCUGUGACUUAGCAAUGUGAAUUUGGACACACAGCUUCUGAAUGUUCAUGUUCGCGUCUUUGUAAAGAUAAGAACAGUGGGACAAUGAGGCUCAGGCUUUAUAAGAUGGUCAUAUAGUAAGAGGGGAGCUCAUGAAGUGAACUGAGCCAAGGUUUGGAACAUCAUAAGUUCUUCAUGAAGCACUGCUGAUCAAUAAUGGUGCAGUUUUAGGUGCAGCUCAAUGAGAAAUUGUGAUAAAAUCUUGACUAAAAGGGGUGCAGAAAAUAGCUAUUAUGCCGUUGUCUGGGCUGGUAAUGAAUAUGGUUCCUCAUGCUUUCUUAAUUCAGUGUCUAGGUUUUGUUUUUGUUUCCAAUCCUGCCACUAGGAAACUGAUAUUCUUCAACCUUUACACACAGAAGCUGCAUGGAAGGCAUCUGGGGAGAGAACAUUAAGUUUGGUCAACAGAGAUGAUCCUUUCAGAGGAAGGGGUUCUCUUCAGUAGGGCUGAAGGUGAAUCACUGUGUGUGAAACCAGUGUAGUUCCAGAGCCAGACCACGCAGAAAAGCUCCCUGCAGCAACCAGGACUUUUCUGAUUGAACAAGCUCUGUAUCUACAGGUAGACGGAGGCAGGGGUCCUGGGUUAGAUUUUCUGCUGAAUUAAAUGUUUAAUCAGGAAAAUAUUGAAGAACAUCUCUGUCCCUGUCUCUCUCUCUGUGUAUGUGCUUUUGUGUGUGUGUGUAUGUGUGUGUAUGUGUGUGUGUGUGUGUGUGUGUGCGCGCGCGUGUGCGUGCACGCACAUGCACAUGCAUGUACAUGCUUGUAGUAGAAUAAAUUAGUGGGUUUCAAAACUAUUCCUUUGUUUUCUGGCAGUUUGAAUCUUCAUGUAUGUGUUAUACAUGCAAACACUGUGAGCUGCACGCAAGUUUGAAAGACAUUUAACUGUUUGCAAAUUAAGAAGGUUAACAUAUAUGCUUCUGUUGUUAAGGACUUCACUGUGCAUUGCAAACCUGACUGUGCUCUGUGCAGAUUUCCAUGUGUUCUGAUAUGAUAGUGGCCUUCCGCAAUGCUAUGGGACUACUGAAUCACCAAGACAGAAGUCUGGCACCUAAACAGGGCAUGUUGAUACAGGAUUUUGUAUAGUACUAUUUUAAGAUACAGGGAAGAAUGGUCCCUGCCUUAAGAAGUGUGCUUUGCUGGGCCAUUAGUUUUACUUUUCUUGCCCCAAUUAUUCCUUUUUAAAGGGUCAGUGGUCCAAAGGAUUAAUGGACUUUUGCAACUGAAUCCUGAACCUCUAUUUCUAGGUCACACUUUAUAUGAGGACCUUGGAUUCCCUGCCCUGGUGCAGACCCACUUUCAGGGCAUUAGGAUUUGAAUAUGGAUUGACAACUGUGGGCUCCUGUGUGAAAUACUUAGUCCCCAGCUGCUGGAACUGCCUUGAGAGCCCCUGGAAACUCCAGAAGGUGGCCCAUCUGGAGAAAGGAGGUUGUUAUGGACUGGUCUUUAAAAGUGAAUCUGAUCCAAAGCCCCUUUACUCUCUACUUCCUGAUGCCAUGAAGUGAAUGGCUUUCUCUGAAACAACACACUCCCCCUUCCAUAAGAGUCUGCCCAAACAGGGAUGAACAAUCCUGGAGAAAACCCUCUGAAAGCAUAAGGCAAAAAAAGAACUCCUCCUUCAUUAAGAUGUCAAUCCCAGGCACUUUGUCAGAGCAAUGAGAACAGUAAAUAACAGGCAGGGUCUGUAAGCUUCCCUUUCCUGGGCUAGUUCUCUUGCCAUAAUCCUUACCAAUGGCAUCUGUGCCCGGAUCCCUGAGGCGCCAGACUAUGGAGAUAUGAAGAUGCUGUGAAUGUGUUCUCAUGUGAGGGCCCCUGUAAGUACAGACAUGUGAGGAGAUGGGACAAGGGCUGGGGCUUCAUUUUUUUUUUCUCUUCUGUCUCUGUCUUUUCUGUAGCAGCCAACUCCAAGAAUCCCAAAGAUUCUGAAAUGAAGCCCAUGCCUCUGUAGUUAUUAUAAUAUGCUAAUAAAGUUGUAGAUAUAGAAGCUGUGUUAGGAAAUAGUUUCUGCCUUGAUUACUAAUGAAAAUAUUUUUACAUAAAAUGGAACCCCCAGUUCUGUUCUUCCCCUUGGGCUCUUCCAAUGUGAGGGAUAAUUAUAAUUUUGUGUCUUUGUUUCAAGUUGUUUUGUCCUUCUCUCUCUU
Long non-coding RNA from Peromyscus leucopus (white-footed mouse), 5945 nucleotides. RefSeq lists it as uncharacterized. The transcript has 5 exons. The record is from RefSeq and is a predicted model, not a curated record. Lineage: Eukaryota; Metazoa; Chordata; Mammalia; Rodentia; Cricetidae.